UUCAGUAUGUCCGAGUCAGACUCGAAAUCUCACCCUCGCAGGUUCGAAUCCUGCUGCUGAUA
Selaginella moellendorffii is the source of this 62-nucleotide transfer RNA. It matches the Rfam family "tRNA". From Rfam's summary of the family: Transfer RNA (tRNA) molecules are approximately 80 nucleotides in length. Their secondary structure includes four short double-helical elements and three loops (D, anti-codon, and T loops). NCBI's taxonomy places the organism in Eukaryota, Viridiplantae, Streptophyta, Lycopodiopsida, Selaginellales, Selaginellaceae. The record is from Rfam.